Long non-coding RNA from Leopardus geoffroyi (Geoffroy's cat), 975 nucleotides. RefSeq lists it as uncharacterized. Lineage: Eukaryota; Metazoa; Chordata; Mammalia; Carnivora; Felidae. The record is from RefSeq and is a predicted model, not a curated record. The transcript has 3 exons.
CACUCCAAGCUGAAAACAAAGAAUAAAGUAUAGGUGGAAUCCAAGCCAGCCUGGGCCCCAGACCCUCAGCUGCACCGCCGUCCUGUGGCAGCUGUCCAACUGUGUCUCGUGGUGGGUGACUGCUCAGCCUCGUGCCUCCAAAUGGCUCUAAGCAAGCCGCUCCACAGGCAGCCAGAGUCACUGCUUUGUGAGGCCUCGACUGCUAUAGCAUCUGGCCCUGUGGCUGCCACCAUUCCCUCUGGCACCGCCAGUGCCUGCUCUGUGUUGGCCCUUGUUGGGGUGAGAAUAGGUUGGGGAAGUGGAGAGAAAGGAUCCUGAGGGUUUCUUUGGACCCGAGGAGGAACCUGAUCUUGACAUCAUGUCUGUCUUGCAGAAGAUGGAGUGACUGGUUGACAGUCAGCUCCCCCAGCACGGAGGAUGGUGCUCCCACAUGCAGUAGACGGAAACUGGCCUGGAUUGGAACAAGAGAUAUUGCUGCUGCUGUCGAGAACCAAGCCACUCUUCCAAGGUGAAGUGUUCUGGACAAAAUUGCAGCUGAAGAUGAUCUAGCAUCUAAAGUCAGAGGAAGGGUUGAACGUGACUCCAGCUCCACCCCCAGUCUGACGUCAGCCACGUGAGAGACUUCAAGUGAGAGCUGCCCAGCUGGGCAGGCUCAAAUCCCAGGACCCAGAGAGAGAAAAAUAAUAUAUGCCACCGAGUUUGGGGUGGCUUGACCCUCAGCAAUAGAGCAUCUGGCCAUUAAAAAAAAACCCAAAACCUGUGGCUAUGAAUUCCCGACCCGUCAUCUCUCAGACCCCAAGUCCGUGGCAGGUGAAGGCUCUCUGGAGGUGCUGCAGGAAGUCAGUGGUGUUUCCUAGCAACGGCGACCAAGAUAAUUUAGUAAAGAAUUGGCACAAAACAUCCCACAAAGUAGUCAAGUACUUUUAACACAGAAGUAGGACAUUCAUCUAUGGUCCUGUAAUUUGAAAGUUGAAG